CACGAACCGUACGAACGUUAUUCGGAAUCACUGGGCUUAAAGGGUGCGUAGGCGGCCCGAAAAGUUGGGUGUGAAAUCCCUCGGCUCAACCGAGGAAUUGCGCUCAAAACUGCCGGGCUAGAGGGAGACAGAGGUGAGCGGAACUUGCGGUGGAGCGGUGAAAUGCGUUGAUAUCGCAAGGAACACCAGUGGCGAAAGCGGCUCACUGGGUCUCUUCUGACGCUGAGGCACGAAAGCUAGGGGAGCGAACGGGAUUAGAUACCCCCGUA
Molecule: ribosomal RNA, 269 nt
Filed under: uncultured prokaryote
Description: partial 16S ribosomal RNA
Rfam family: Bacterial small subunit ribosomal RNA
Source: RNAcentral